Molecule: ribosomal RNA, 253 nt
Filed under: uncultured bacterium
Lineage: Bacteria
Description: partial 16S ribosomal RNA
Rfam family: Bacterial small subunit ribosomal RNA
Source: RNAcentral
UACAGAGGGUGCAAGCGUUGUUCGGAAUUACUGGGCGUAAAGAGUGUGUAGGCGGUGCUCCAAGUCUGGUGUGAAAUCUCCCGGCUUAACUGGGAGGGUGCAUUAGAAACUGGAAUGCUAGAGGAUGGGAGAGGUAAGCGGAAUUCCUGGUGUAGCGGUGAAAUGCGUAGAUAUCAGGAGGAACACCUGUGGUGUAGACAGCUUACUGGACCAUUUCUGACGCUGAGACACGAAAGCGUGGGUAGCAAACAGG